GACGAACGCUGGCGGCGUGCUUAACACAUGCAAGUCGAACGGAAAGGCCCUGCUUUUGUGGGGUGCUCGAGUGGCGAACGGGUGAGUAACACGUGAGUAACCUGCCCUUGACUUUGGGAUAACUUCAGGAAACUGGGGCUAAUACCGGAUAGGAGCUCCUGCUGCAUGGUGGGGGGUGGAAAGUUUCGGCGGUUGGGGAUGGACUCGCGGCUUAUCAGCUUGUUGGUGGGGUAGUGGCUUACCAAGGCUUUGACGGGUAGCCGGCCUGAGAGGGUGACCGGCCACAUUGGGACUGAGAUACGGCCCAGACUCCUACGGGAGGCAGAGGUGGGGAAUAUUGCACAAUGGGCGGAAGCCUGAUGCAGCAACGCCGCGUGCGGGAUGACGGCCUUCGGGUUGUAAACCGCUUUCGCCUGUGACGAAGCGUGAGUGACGGUAAUGGGUAAAGAAGCACCGGCUAACUACGUG
RNAcentral lists this ribosomal RNA (468 nucleotides) under uncultured bacterium. RNAcentral describes it as "partial 16S ribosomal RNA". It matches the Rfam family "Bacterial small subunit ribosomal RNA", at positions 28 to 507 of the family's 1533-position model. The record is from RNAcentral.